Molecule: long non-coding RNA, 4011 nt
Organism: Triticum aestivum (bread wheat)
Lineage: Eukaryota; Viridiplantae; Streptophyta; Magnoliopsida; Poales; Poaceae
Exons: 7
Source: RefSeq, a predicted model, not a curated record
CCAGGGAAUAGGUGCAGCAUCAAUGGCAAGCCGAGUCGACAUGUGACUUCACACAUCAAAUCGAAUCAAUAGUGUUUUUCUACUGUCACAUCAGUGCAAAAAAAUGACAAUUGAUAGCCUCUCCUUUAGCUAUCAUACCAUGUGUUGUGUCACUAAGUUACGAUCUUAGCUGCGGUGUACAUAUUUUCAGAUUAAUGAAGCUUAUAGCCCUCCAAUGCAGUAUCUGUAUGCUUUACAAAACUAUCCGAGUAUUGCAAAAUUGCAUGAUACAUCAAAUUGGAGCGUAGCCUACAUACUUAUGGACUGUGGACUUAUGUUGCUUAUUUAGAGGCUGCCGUACAUGGAUCGGGAAAACUACAAGUAUUUGGUGCACGAUCUAAAAUAGCUGCAGGCUAAUCCUCCCCUAAUGUUCAUAAUGUUCUGUGGUACACAAUAUGGGUAAAGGAGAGCACAUUGCUCUAAUGUUUUUGCAUAUGAUAUUAAAUCAGACAUUUCAGUGGAUAAUAUAUGGUAUUGACUUGGACAUUGGUGUUGUGGAACAAUCUAGCAGGUAUUGGAUCUUAUAGAAUUAUAGAGUUGGCAGGGUCUGAAAAUCAUGGUGUUGGUGUUUCAGCCUAUUAAUCUGUAGAUAAAGAAAGUCCGCACAUCUCUACAAAUAAUCCUGAAGAAAGUUCUACUAUUGCGAACGCUCCAACUGAAUAAGAAAUAUGAUUUUUUUUUAAUUGAAGAAGAAGCCAGUUUCUCGAGAAGGAAUACAGAAUAAUAUUUUGGAUUAUUUUACUUGAGGUCUCAAAUUCAUCGCAUCAACCGUGAGGGGUAGUAUGCAAGGAUCAACCGAUGUGGAUAACAAAAUCUGGGUGCGAGCUUCCGGGAAAUCUAAUUGGGUCUAUGCAAACAAGCAGAUUUGGAAGAUAAUUCCUGUACAUGUUGAUUUGGAAAAUCUUUGACAGUAGCUGUGGGUCUUAUACUGAUGACAAUCAACAUGUCUUUUCCGACCAACCAGGGGUCGAUUCCAACAUAUGUUUUGUCCAUAUUUGAAGCCCAUUUUCUACUCAUUGAUCUGCUUCACUCCUCCACAAGUUUCUCACUAGGUUCUCUUGAGCGAUGAGUCAUACUGGAUGUUCAAGGACACAGAAGGCUUCAUGAACCACAUUCUCUUGCUGAACUUUUUUUGGCAUCAUAACAACGAUUCCCAUGAUCUUUCUAUGUGCUUUACUGAUGGACGGUGUUGGCGCGUUUAGGGCAUAAUGACCUGAGCGGUAGAUCGUACGGUGAACAACGUCGACGGCAGCGCUAGAGCGCGGUGAGGCUGGUUGAGGUUUUCUCUAUGCUUCUUUUAAUUACCACAUGUAAUUUUAUUUGAGAUCUUUUCAUGGUUGCGCUGCUAAUUAAUAAUCUUAAUGAUGUAAUGUAAUUCGCAUAAUAUGAUAUAAUCAUUUGGUAGUAGACUUUGCUGGACUAUUGUAGGUCGCCAGAAACACUAUGUUCUAUCCAGAAGGUCAUCCACAACGUCUGUGCAUUGCAUAGAGCUUCUUACUGCAAUUUUCUAGAAUGCACUUCUUGAAUUAUUCCGGAAGAUGUUAGUAUUUCACCUCAGUACCUUGCUGCUCACUCCAGCGUGAAGACGUGUUCGCUAAAUGGUGAGCUAUGCAUUGUGAAAGGGUAAGGCAAUGCAUCACGGUUGAUCUUUGCUUGAACUUGUGGGCCUUCAAUAGCAUUUUAGUUCAUAUAAAAGCAAAUCCCGUAUAUUCUUAAACAUAAAGAGAUUAUUAUGGUUCAGACUAUCAAGGAUAUCAAUAAUUCUAUAUGCGCUAAAUAGGACUCCCAUUUUAAAGAAAAAUAAGACUCUUUUUAUAAACACGGUUCGACCAUGGUGCUAAUAUAUGUUUUUUUGGGAGGUGGUUAUAUAUGUUUAGAUUCAUGCACUAUGUGUAUCAUGCCUCUCUUUCUUUUCUAAAAUAUUGGCAGAGGCUCUAUCUCAUACACUAAAUCUUUUAUCGAGCCUAUCAUGGCUGCACCUCAAGGUUUGAUAACUAAUGUCGAUUCAGAAGGUGGAUUUGGCUCAUUGAUGAUACAUAUAAGCAAUUUCUGAGCUCAUAGGUUCCAAGCUAUUCAGUUUUAUGCAAAAUUGUGGAGCAGAAAAACAAGCUGGAAGCUUACUCGGGGAUGCAAGCCAGCGGCAACCCCACAGCCGAAGGCGACAAGGUUGCGCCAGACAUCAAAGAGAAGUAGCGCGCUCGGGCCUGCUAGGAGCUCUGGGCUUGGUGGGUGUGGACCAUGACAUUACCGAGGAGUAUUCUUUAUUGGAGAGACCAAGACUGCCGAGAAAGAAAGAAGCCGAUCUGCCCCCCUGGGACUUGCGGCCACAGCUGGAGAGGGCGUCUCCCCCUUAUCGACGGGGUUUGGUGCCGGUGCUCGGUGCACCGUCUUGGCCGUGCUGGGCGGCGAGUCAGCGACAGGCUUGGAUCCGAUCUGAAGUUGGUGGCAUCACCAUGCUUGUCCUCCUUUGUUAGCUGGUCUGCGGGCUUCCUCCGGACGUCCUGCUCGGCUGGUUGGCAGAGCAAUGGCGAUGCAAGCUCUGGGUCGGGGGAAACCCUUAACCGGUGGUGCCGGUCACGAUGUUGGCGGCGCUUGCGGCGCCGUUCUCCCUCUGGUGGGCGACAUCGAGACCCUCUCCUCGCCUUCCACCCCAUGGUCCCGGGCGAAAGCCUAAAAUCUCUUGAUUGGGCGGCGACAGCGCGUCGACAUCGUUUUCUUCUUGAAGACGCUGCCUUGGGAGUCCAGGAUGGCCAGGGGCUCGGAGCGGUGGUGGUUUGCCUGUUCUUCUAACGUGAACCUGCUUGGCAAUGGCGGUGGGUUCCUUGGUCUUGGCUGGUGACGGGCAUGAUGUAUGGGUUCCUAUGAGAGGUGAGGUGGCCAGGGCUUGUCCUCUCCCGAACAACAUGUUGGCCAGUCCAUCCGUGCUCGGGGGUGAGCUAUUCUGCCUCCUGACGGGUCGGCGUCCUUUGAUCUAGGACGAGAAGGCAGGGGUGCCCUCUUCGAAGGCAGAGGCUGAAGGUAGGACAACAGGGUUGGCCCUUGGGAGUCGAUGGAGCAUGGCCUUCCUCCGGUGGUGAAUUGCUCCCUUACGCGGUUGCGUCGAUGGCAUGAUCGGAGGUCGUCUCUUGUUGUUCCAUAGUGUUUGUAUCUUGUUGAUUUUCGAUUCUCUUAUUUUCCUUAUUUGUUGUGGUGAUGGCUGUAAUGUGUGGUUGUUGCUUUAUAUAUAAAGCGGGGCGAAAACCAUUUUCAGUAAAGAAAGAAGCCGAAGAGAGUUUGAAUUUGUUGCUAUUUGAUGAAACCAGAUGCCACCAUGCUUAACACGUAUUUCUGAAUUAAAAUAAUAAUUUGAUAAAUGCGUAUAUUUCUAUUAUUACAUGGCAAUGCACGGUCAUCCGGCUUUUGCCCGUAGCAACUUUUGAUAUUUCCUGGCCAGAGAGAACAAACAUGUGUCCAAGCACGCCGAAGCUAUUAUUCUCAGGUUUUUUAUGCUGAUAUUGAAUGGCUACCUUCCAUCUGCUAGGGAGAUAGUUUUUGCUGAUCUUUCAUCUGAAUGUGCUCAUCUAGAGCUAAAGCUGGAAGAAGCCCAAGCAUCACAUAAUCCUGAAGACCUAUGCACUAUCUCCAAAGUCUUGAGCUUAUUAAGAGAUGACACAAAAUUUGAGCUUUAUUAUACAAAAUUGUGUUGGUAUCUGGUUGUAGAACAUAUUUCCUAUUAUAGAAGUUAAAGAGAGGAAGUAAAAGGGUAAGCCAAGGGCUAGCCUAAAAUCCCAAAAGGACUCACAUGGUAUUUGUUGUCGGCCAACCUGUCUUCAAUCCAGCGGUUGGUCGCUUGAACAAUGUUAUUCACUCAGAGGGAGUUUUGAUCAAAAGUUUAUGAAUUAUCAUGCAUGGAACCUGUAUAUGUUGUAGACUAUUUCAUUGUAUUAUGCUAUAUAAAAGCGGCAAAGUAGUAUUAUGGUCAUUGCUUUAGUA